AAUAUUGCCGUUUAAAAAAACAGCAGAGAAAGCGCUCCUACCGUUAAAAAAGCAACCCGCUCAUGGCUUUCCCUUCCUAUCUAUUCUCUGUUCCUGCAAGUGAGGGCUUCUCCAAGAGUGAUGGCGCCCCAUGCUUCAAGAUUUCCUCUGUUUAAUUUGCCUGUUUGUUUCCUGCCAAUCCUCUCGCCCACCUGGACAAGCCCUUCUCGUGGAUUGGCGAUGGCGACUUCCACUGAAUCAUCUGCGGAGGAAUGUUUUCCGACAGUGAUGAUUCCGCAGUGUGAUUUUCUCAACAGAAUGCGCCAUGCUUCAAGAUUUCGUCAUCAAAAUGCGCAAUGCUCAGUGUGAUUUCCGAUGUCCGCAUCUGCUCUGACGCCGCACAGCUCAUCUGCGGAGGAUUGUUGGCUGAUUUGGGAAAAGAAGAACCAGUACAUAUAUUAGCUUAUUAUGGUAGCUGUGGAGCAGCAAAAUUGCAGAGAUAGAAGAAUGCUUAGCCAAUAUAAGAGAGGGCAGAAACCAUGUUACUGAAGCUUAAAUUUCUGGGGAUGGUGUAGCUCCAGGAAGACUGCAAUAAUGUAGGCAGCAGUGAUGACAAGGAGGAGGAGGUGAAAUGAAGCAGUACUAAACAUCACAAGCACCGGGUAAUACAACAGUAUUAAAGAUAAGGAUGAUGAUGAGGAAAUAGCCAACAAACUAUGGAAAGCUAUAAAAGUCUGCUUAUCUGAAGUCUCAAAUAAACAAGGAAUGUUGCAAGUCGCACAUACUCGAUGCCUGGACAGAGGGGUGCCAGCAACCUUGGAAGCUGCUCUCAAAUAUGGUAUUAGAGUAAUUCCAGGCUUUGAAAUCAGCACAAUUCUUACAUCAAGGUUAGCCAAUUUCUUACUUGUCUAUAUCUAGGCAUAUGUCUCAAGAUUACAUAUUAGUUGAAGCUUUAUAUUUCUCUCCCCUACCAUAUUAGUUGAAGCUUUAGAUGUCAGUUUUAUUUCACCAGAGAACUAUUAGUGGAAUUAAAUCCUUGCAACGAACAAGAAAAGUUAUUGUGAGCAAUAAACUCUUUGUAUGAGAGUGGGGACCAAAUUUUGUAUCAUAUUUGAUCACAUAAACCGUUUUAUCUGGUCACAUGGUGUAUGUACAUUUGAGCUCUUUUUAUGGAUCAAGUUAUUGGAUCAUUUUUCUUGUUCACCUGGCUUGGUUACUCCGUUAGAAAGGAAAGCACCGAGAGUCAGACAAUUUUUGAACUCUUUCUACUUUUUUGUUUUUUAUUUUUAUAACUUCAAAAUAAAUAAAGCUGGGGCAUUGAUAUCUAGAAGUCAAAAAUCUGCUUUGAGGCUAAAAUUUAUUUAGCUUGAGAUGUUAUUUUGUCUAAAUUUUUGUACUAAGAGGACUGAUUCUGGAAAAGGAGAACCAGUAUAUAUUAGCUUAUUACAGUACCAGCAAAAUUUGCAGAGAUAGAAGAAUGCUUAGUCAAUAUUAGAGAGGGCAGCAACCAUGUUACUGAAGCUUAAAGCUCUGAAGAUUGAAGCAUGUGUUAAAUGCAUUGUUGCAGAUGGCGUAGCUUCAGGAAGACUGCAAUUGUUGAGGCUUCACAUUCAGUAACUUAACGAAUGUUAAGAAAGUUUUGUUUACAUCACAUUCUAUUUUGUUGACUUCUUUAACUAUAAUUCUAUAUUUUUUUUUAUCUUUCUUUGCUGUCAUUCUAUUUCUGUUUGGCAUGGCCAUGCCUUUUCUGUUUUUAUUUGUCUGUUGAGUUCUACUUUGAUAUGUUUGUUAUGUGUUUUUCUUUUGUAUUUUUAUUGUAGAUUGUUUUUAAAAAAGUUUUAUUGUUAUUUUGUAUUUUGUCUUUUUGGUGGGUGAUGAUUUGUCAGGCAACAGUGACGACAAAGGAGGAAGAGAAAAGAAGCAGAUCUAAACUAAUUCCUCUUUAAAAUUGAGUUGAGGAAUUAGUAAUUUUAAAGAGGAUUGUGUAAACUAAUUCCUCAACUCAAAUUUGAAAAUCAUUGCAAAAUACGACAUAAUAAUUCUCUACAGCAAUAGCUCAUGUCAUGGCUAGAAAAACCAACUGCCGACAUGUUUGGAUUUAUGGAUGCAACAUAUAGCUGGGCAAUGCUUAUAGUUUCUUGUAUUUUAUUUUAUUCUUGUGUCUUAUUUAUGUGGCUUAGUUAUAAGGGUUAAACCUACUUCCAAUGAAACACUAUGGUAGGACUCUUGUUGCAUGCUUAUAGUUCCCUGCAUUUAUUUUAUUUUGUUCGUGUCUUAUUUAUGUGACUUAAUUAUAAGGGUUAAAGCUCAUCUCCAAUGCAGCACUAUGGUAGGACGCUUGUUGCGGUAUUGUGCUAAGCAGCAGAGUGUCUUUGUGCCAUUGUUGAUCACUUGUAAUUCCCUUGGCUUUCCCAUUAAUCAAAAAUGGGAUUUCACCUUACUUGGUGCUUGCGAAGUUACCACCCAUUUGUAGUUGUAGUAAAACUAGUUUAUAAUAAUUUUUUAAGUAAUAAAUCAACCCAAUUAAUAUUCUUUGUGAUUCUCGGAGAGGAGCCACAUACUGAUCGAGUGUGUGCAACACUGGAUAAUGUCUGGAUCCAAUCGAUGUGCUAGAGGCAAUUGGCAUUCUUUGAUUACUAUAUUCAUAAACCUUUGCCUUGUCUAUAGAGUGAUAUCUAGAGUGCAGAGGGAUGUCUAGAGUUUCUCAAUUGUUAUUGCAGUCAAUGCAAAGCAAAUUAUAAUUUUAUUAUAGCACUUUUGAAUUAUUUGCUGAAAUCGUUCAACUUAUUUGUAAAUCGAGAUGUGCAGUCAAUGCAAAGCAAAUUUUAAUUUUAUUGUAGCACUUUUGAAUUAUUUGCAGAAAUCGUUCAACUUAUUUGUAAAUCGAGAUGUAAAUGAAAUUUGUUUAAUAAAAAUAAUUUAUUUUGGAGGGGUUGAAUUGGCCUCCUCCUC
This is a long non-coding RNA of Cryptomeria japonica (Japanese cedar), 2931 nucleotides long. RefSeq lists it as uncharacterized. The transcript is spliced from 6 exons. The record is from RefSeq and is a predicted model, not a curated record. NCBI's taxonomy places the organism in Eukaryota, Viridiplantae, Streptophyta, Pinopsida, Cupressales, Cupressaceae.